GUAAGGAAUAUUGGACAAUGGACGCAAGUCUAAUCCAGCCAUGCCGCGUGAAGGAUUAAGGUCCUCUGGAUUGUAAACUUCUUUUAUAAGGGACGAAAAAAGGCUUUUCUAAGUCGUCUGACGGUACCUUAUGAAUAAGCACCGGCUAACUCCGUGCCAGCAGCCGCGGUAAUACGGAGGGUGCAAGCGUUAUCCGGAUUCACUGGGUUUAAAGGGUGCGUAGGCGGGCAGGUAAGUCAGUGGUGAAAUCCUAGAGCUUAACUCUAGAACUGCCAUUGAUACUAUCUGUCUUGAAUAUUGUGGAGGUAAGCGGAAUAUGUCAUGUAGCGGUGAAAUGCUUAGAUAUGACAUAGAACACCUAUUGCGAAGGCAGCUUACUACGCAUAUAUUGACGCUGAGGCACGAAAGCGUGGGGAUCAAACAGGAUUAGAAACCCCGGUAGUCC
Molecule: ribosomal RNA, 445 nt
Filed under: uncultured bacterium
Lineage: Bacteria
Description: partial 16S ribosomal RNA
Rfam family: Bacterial small subunit ribosomal RNA
Source: RNAcentral